GGUGAACGCUGGCGGCGUGCCUAAGACAUGCAAGUCGAGCGGGGCAGGUUUAUACCUGUUCAGCGGCGGACGGGUGAGUAACGCGUGGGUGACCUACCCGGAAGAGGCGGACAACCUGGGGAAACCCAGGCUAAUCCGCCAUGUGGUCCUGUCCUGUGGGCCAGGACUAAAGGGUGGAUAGCUCGCCUCCGGAUGGGCCGGCGUCCCAUCAGCUAGUUGGUGGGGUAAAGGCCCACCAAGGCGACGACGGGUAGCCGGUCUGAGAGGAUGGCCGGCCACAGGGGCACUGAACCACGAGCCGAGGUCCUAGGGGAGGCAGCAGUUAGAAAUCUUCCGCAAUGGACGGAAGUCUGAGGGAGCGACGACGCUUGGUGGAGGAAGCAAUGCGGGGUGUAAACUCCUGAACUGGGGACGAAAGCCCUGUGUAGGGGGAUGACGGUACCAAGGUAAUAGCGCCGGCCAACUCCGUG
Molecule: ribosomal RNA, 470 nt
Filed under: uncultured bacterium
Lineage: Bacteria
Description: partial 16S ribosomal RNA
Rfam family: Bacterial small subunit ribosomal RNA
Source: RNAcentral